CCUACGGGAGGCAGCAGUAGGGAAUAUUGCUCAAUGGGGGAAACCCUGAAGCAGCAACGCCGCGUGGAGGAUGAAGGUUUUCGGUUUGUAAAGUCCUUUUGUUAGAGAAGAAAAUGACGGUACCUAACGAAUAAGCACCGGCUAACUACGUGCCAGCAGCCGCGGUAAUACGGAGGGUGCAAGCGUUAUCCGGAGUCACUGGGCGUAAAGAGCGCGUAGGCGGGAUAGCAAGUCAGAUGUGAAAUCCUAUGGCUUAACCAUAGAACUGCAUUGGAAACUGUUAUUCUAGAGUAUUGGAGAGGUAGGUGGAAUUCUUGGUGUAGGGGUAAAAUCCGUAGAGAUCAAGAGGAAUACUCAUUGCGAAGGCGACCUGCUAGAACAUAACUGACGCUGAUGCGCGAAAGCGUGGGGAGCAAACAGGAUUAGAUACCCUUGUAGUC
RNAcentral lists this ribosomal RNA (440 nucleotides) under uncultured bacterium. Its description in RNAcentral is "partial 16S ribosomal RNA". It matches the Rfam family "Bacterial small subunit ribosomal RNA", at positions 338 to 795 of the family's 1533-position model. The record is from RNAcentral.